This 350-nucleotide unclassified non-coding RNA is filed under the name soil metagenome. Its description in RNAcentral is "partial contains 5.8S ribosomal RNA, internal transcribed spacer 2, and large subunit ribosomal RNA". The stretch from base 1 to 120 matches the Rfam family "5.8S ribosomal RNA", at positions 35 to 154 of the family's 154-position model. The record is from RNAcentral.
GAUGAAGAACGCAGCGAACUUCGAUAAGUAAUGUGAAUUGCAGAAUUCAGUGAAUCAUCGAGUCUUUGAACGCACAUUGCGCCCCCUGGCAUUCCGGGGGGCAUGCCUGUCCGAGCCUCAUUGCUGCCCUUCAAGCCCGGCUUGUGUGUUGGGUCGUCGUCCCCCCCGGGGGACGGGCCCGAAAGGCAGCGGCGGCACCGCGUCCGGUCCUCGAGCGUAUGGGGCUUUGUCACCCGCUCGAUUAGGGCCGGCCGGGCGCCAGCCGGCGUCUCCAACCUUCUAUUUUACCAGGUUGACCUCGGAUCAGGUAGGGAUACCCGCUGAACUUAAGCAUAUCAAUAAGCGGAGGA